RNAcentral lists this ribosomal RNA (465 nucleotides) under uncultured bacterium. RNAcentral's name for it is "bacterial SSU rRNA". It matches the Rfam family "Bacterial small subunit ribosomal RNA", at positions 338 to 795 of the family's 1533-position model. The record is from RNAcentral.
CCUACGGGGGGCAGCAGUAGGGAAUAUUGCGCAAUGGGCGAAAGCCUGACGCAGCCAUGCCGCGUGGAUGAUGAAGGCCUUCGGGUCGUAAAGUCCUUUUCUGAGGGAAGAACUGCCGGGGGAGGAAAUGCCCUUGGCUUGACGGUACCUCAGGAAUAAGCAACGGCUAACUCCGUGCCAGCAGCCGCGGUAAUACGGAGGUUGCAAGCGUUGUUCGGAAUGACUGGGCGUAAAGGGAGCGCAGGCGGCCAAGUCAGUCUGAAGUGAAAGCCCGGGGCUUAACCCCGGAAUAGCUUUGGAUACUGCCUGGCUUGAGUGUGCGAUAGGAAAGCGGAAUUCCAGGUGUAGCGGUGAAAUGCGUAGAUAUCUGGAGGAACACCGGUGGCGAAAGCGGCUUUCUGGCGCAUAACUGACGCUGAGGCUCGAAAGCGUGGGGAGCGAACGGGCUUAGAUACCCGGGUAGUC